GUUCUUGGUCUGUCUCCUCCCCUCUCACUGCAGACAUGAAACACUGGCUGAGAAACAUCCUGAUUCUGACUCUCUGGAUAGAGUGUAAAGGAGAAGACAAAGUGACCCAGCCAACAGGAGAUGUCACUGCUGUUCAAGGACUCACACUGACUCUACAAUGUACAUUUGAGACCAGUGACGCAAAUCCAACUUUGUUUUGGUACAAACAGGAAGUUAAUGAUUAUCCCAGAUACAUGCUUUAUAAAUACAAAUCAGGAUCAGAAACAUUUAAAGCUCCUGAGUACCAGGAUGAAAGAUUUGACGCCAAGAACAACCAGACCUCAUUUCCUCUGAAGAUCCAGAAGCUUCAUGUGUCAGACUCUGCUGUGUACUACUGUGCUCUGCAGCCCACAGUGACAGGAAACAGCAAAACUCUGAACAAAAACCUCUGGAGCAAAGACAACAGCUGCUCUGUCAAACAGUCGGCUUGGAUUCACUGCAAACGACUCUUGACAAACUUCACCCCUCCAUCCUUUUGA
Molecule: non-coding RNA, 518 nt
Organism: Sphaeramia orbicularis (orbiculate cardinalfish)
Lineage: Eukaryota; Metazoa; Chordata; Actinopteri; Kurtiformes; Apogonidae
Source: the annotation of a RefSeq genome assembly